Neofelis nebulosa (Clouded leopard) is the source of this 955-nucleotide long non-coding RNA. RefSeq lists it as uncharacterized. NCBI's taxonomy places the organism in Eukaryota, Metazoa, Chordata, Mammalia, Carnivora, Felidae. The record is from RefSeq and is a predicted model, not a curated record. The transcript has 2 exons.
GCCGCGGCGGCCGAUCUGCGCAGGCGCCCACCGGUCCGGAGCCCACGCGGCCUGGCGCAACGCCAAGUCCCGGCGGAACCGCGGUGUCUCUCGCUUCCCGGAGUAAAGCUCAAGAUCUGGCUGACAAAACAAAACCUGAAAACAUCGCUAAAAGGGAUGAUUACAGCCUCAUGGUUCCACUGGGGCUCGAACCCAGGACCUUCUGCGCGUAAAGCAGAUGUGCUAACCGCUACACUAUGGAACCGCGCGCUGCGGAAGCUCUCCAGGGUGAAAUAAGUGCACAUAAAGACCUUUCUCUUUCCAGUGUGGGAGGAGACUGAGAGUUGAUGCCCAGCGAUCGCUUACGGAGAGGAACUAUCAGAAGGAUCUCCGGCCGCCAAGCGCAGCUCCCACCCACGCUUCUCCUCGGCUGCGGGGGCUCCGCCACUUCUCCGAGAAGGAAGGCGCGGCCGGACCCGCGGCGGGUGUCCCGGGGCAGACGUUGCUCCUGCCUUGAUGUAAGCAGCGCGGAAGGGUCCAGCUGCCUGGCUCUGUGGCGCAAUGGAUAGCGCAUUGGACUUCUAGACAGAUGGAGGCAUUCAAAGGUUGUGGGUUCGAGUCCCACCAGAGUCGCUUUUGUUUUGGUAAGGGAAGUGAAGAAAAAAACCCACCUUAACACCUUUAAAAUUCCCCAUCUCACUCGCGUACUAUGAAAAGGAAGGAAACUCAUCCCAACUCCCUGUGGUGGGUUCUCGUGUGAAGUUGUUGGGAGACCUGUCACCCGAGUCUUCCCAGUCGCCUUCAGGGGGCCCCAGGGUUUCCGGUGACUGGAGGCGGAGAAAUUGGCACGACCUGGUUUUGAGAGCUUGAUCUGUGCCAGCCACUGACCAGGCACCGGGGACACACAGGGACUGUCUGCCUCCCAGCAGAAACAUUGGAGGAGGGAAGACUGACCCAAUUAGACAGGUGUUGAAGG